Molecule: ribosomal RNA, 253 nt
Filed under: uncultured bacterium
Lineage: Bacteria
Description: partial 16S ribosomal RNA
Rfam family: Bacterial small subunit ribosomal RNA
Source: RNAcentral
UACGGAGGUGGCAAGCGUUGCUCGGAAUCACUGGGCGUAAAGGGCGCGUAGGCGGGGAGGUAAGUCGGGUGUGAAAUCCCCAGGCUCAACCUGGGAACUGCGUCUGAUACUGGAUGGCUUGAAUCCGGGAGAGGGAUGCAGAAUUCCAGGUGUAGCGGUGAAAUGCGUAGAUAUCUGGAGGAAUACCGGUGGCGAAGGCGGCAUCCUGGACCGGCAUUGACGCUGAGGAGCGAAAGCCAGGGGAGCAAACGGG